UUGAACGCUGGCGGCAUGCUUUACACAUGCAAGUCGAACGGUAACAGGUUAAGCUGACGAGUGGCGAACGGGUGAGUAAUGCAUCGGAACGUGCCCGAUCGUGGGGGAUAACGCAGCGAAAGCUGCGCUAAUACCGCAUACGAUCUGAGGAUGAAAGCGGGGGCUCGCAAGACCUCGCGCGAUUGGAGUGGCCGAUAUCUGAUUAGCUAGAUGGUGAGGUAAAGGCUCACCAUGGCGACGAUCAGUAGCUGGUCUGAGAGGAUGAUCAGCCACACUGGGACUGAGACACGGCCCAGACUCCUACGGGAGGCAGCAGUGGGGAAUUUUGGACAAUGGGGGCAACCCUGAUCCAGCCAUUCCGCGUGAGUGAAGAAGGCCUUCGGGUUGUAAAGCUCUUUCAGCAGGAACGAAACGGUGGCUACUAAUACUAGCUACUAAUGACGGUACCUGAAGAAGAAGCACCGGCUAACUACGU
Molecule: ribosomal RNA, 475 nt
Filed under: uncultured bacterium
Lineage: Bacteria
Description: partial 16S ribosomal RNA
Rfam family: Bacterial small subunit ribosomal RNA
Source: RNAcentral